Molecule: ribosomal RNA, 301 nt
Filed under: uncultured bacterium
Lineage: Bacteria
Description: partial 16S ribosomal RNA
Rfam family: Bacterial small subunit ribosomal RNA
Source: RNAcentral
CAGCCGCCGCGGGAAUACGGAGGGGGCUAGCGUUGUUCGGAAUUACUGGGCGUAAAGCGCACGUAGGCGGCUUUGUAAGUCAAAGGUGAAAGCCUGGAGCUCAACUCCAGAAUUGCCUUUGAGACUGCAUCGCUUGAACGUCGGAGAGGUGAGUGGAAUUCCGAGUGUAGAGGUGAAAUUCGUAGAUAUUCGGAAGAACACCAGUGGCGAAGGCGGCUCACUGGACGACUGUUGACGCUGAGGUGCGAAAGCGUGGGGAGCAAACAGGAUUAGAUACCCCUGUAGUCCAUGUCUCUUAUAC